GCGUGCAUAGCUCAGUGGUUGAGCGCAUGCUUAGCAUGCACGAGGUCCUGGGUUCAAUCCUCAGUACCUCCA
RNAcentral lists this transfer RNA (72 nucleotides) under Camelus bactrianus (Bactrian camel). It matches the Rfam family "tRNA". Rfam says of the family: Transfer RNA (tRNA) molecules are approximately 80 nucleotides in length. Lineage: Eukaryota; Metazoa; Chordata; Mammalia; Artiodactyla; Camelidae. The record is from Rfam by way of RNAcentral. RNAcentral also lists the same sequence under 2 other names.